CUACGGGCGGCUGCAGUGAGGAAUAUUGCACAAUGGAGGAAACUCUGAUGCAGCAACGCCGCGUGGAGGAUGACGCAUUUCGGUGUGUAAACUCCUUUUAUGAGUCAAGAAAAUGACGGUAGCAUAUGAAUAAGCACCGGCUAACUCCGUGCCAGCAGCCGCGGUAAUACGGAGGGUGCAAGCGUUACUCGGAAUCACUGGGCGUAAAGGACGCGUAGGCGGGUUGGAAAGUCAGGUGUGAAAUCCUACAGCUUAACUGUAGAACUGCACUUGAAACUUCUAAUCUAGAGUAUGGGAGGGGGAGAUGGAAUUAGUGGUGUAGGGGUAAAAUCCGUAGAUAUCACUAGGAAUACCUAAAGCGAAGGCGAUCUCCUGGAACAUUACUGACGCUAAGGCGUGAAAGCGUGGGGAGCAAACAGGAUUAGAUACCCUAGUAGUC
Molecule: ribosomal RNA, 439 nt
Filed under: uncultured bacterium
Lineage: Bacteria
Description: partial 16S ribosomal RNA
Rfam family: Bacterial small subunit ribosomal RNA
Source: RNAcentral